GACGUAGGGCGCAAGCGUUGUCCGGAUUUAUUGGGCGUAAAGAGCUCGUAGGCGGCUUGUUGCGUCGACUGUGAAAACCCAGAGCUUAACUGUGGGCUUGCAGUCGAUACGGGCAGGCUGGAGUUCGGUAGGGGAGACUGGAAUUCCUGGUGUAGCGGUGAAAUGCGCAGAUAUCGCUUGGAACGCCAAUGGUGAAAACAGCUCGCUGGGGGUGUGCUGACGCUGAGACACGAAAGCCAGGGGAGCGAACGGG
This 253-nucleotide ribosomal RNA is filed under the name uncultured bacterium. RNAcentral's name for it is "partial 16S ribosomal RNA". It matches the Rfam family "Bacterial small subunit ribosomal RNA", at positions 524 to 776 of the family's 1533-position model. The record is from RNAcentral.